This 3320-nucleotide long non-coding RNA is filed under the name Triticum aestivum (bread wheat). RNAcentral's name for it is "long non-coding RNA (TAES_LNC026782)". Lineage: Eukaryota; Viridiplantae; Streptophyta; Magnoliopsida; Poales; Poaceae. The record is from RNAcentral.
UCAACCAUCAAAGUGCUACAUCAUAUAACACACAUACAAAUGUGAUCAGCAUCAAGUUUACAAUCAGAUAACAAGCUCCACAAGUGUACAAUCACAGGAGCCACAUUCUGCUACAUCACAUAACACACAUACAAAUAGGAGCAGCAUAAAGGACUCCAUUACUCUCAGAACUAGCUCCAAUGAGCAAGAACUAUUCUUCCUCCGACUUCUUUUUACUGAUGCUCACGAAGAAACAUUAAAGCCCAGCAUCUGCAUGUUACAAAACAAAAUAUUUAGGAACAAAAUAGAAGUAGAUCUAACAACAUAUUUAACAAUAAAUAACAGAAUAAUGAAGUUCAUGAGACAUUUUAGAAUCAACUUGACAGUUGAUAGUAAUGUUUGCAUUGGACACAUCCAAAACUAAAAUUACUAAGAUAUAUCAUCAACAGCCAUAUAGCUUUGUUUAAUAUUACUAAGAUAUAUAGCCAUUAGUUUGUUUUAACAUGGAACCCAAGAGUAUGCGACUCUAGCACCCUGAGAAAGAUGUUAAUAUGCCAUCAUACUAGCUGAUAGACAAACAUUCCAGGAAGAAUUGAUGCUUGUUUAACAGGUACAAUCGAUACUUCUAUCUCUAAUAGACAAAUUUAAAGUUUUUAAUACAUUUUUUCUAUUAGCAAAUCUGAAUAUGCUACUUCCUGAUUCAUGGCUGCAUAGUCCAGCUAGCUACACCAGUUUGCUCUAAUGCAAAAAUUAGAAAAAAAUGUAUCAUUGGUAAUUAUGCAACUCUAUUUGGAGUCAUUUCUCCAAACAAUUACUGCUAUUAUAGUUACUGAUGUAUCCUAAUUAAUAGUACUUUACAGUAGAUAAACAUUUGUUGAUGCUAAAAAAGACAAAGGCUUGUACCAUGACAUGUCCAGCAAGCCUAAUUAAUAGUGUCAAACUGUAGCAGGACAUAAAAGAACAAUGCAGUAGUAACUUAAGCAUGCUCCCCUGUAGACACACACACACACACACGCACACGAUCAAUUCAAACCCAAACAAAUCAAAUCACGCUCUUCAUCUAGACCCUACAGGUCAUGAACGCUUGGCAUCAAGCAUUAGGCCAUGAAGCAUCUGUCCGAUCUGUUCAACAAGACGAGUACAUACCUGGCUCCAGGUCGAUGCGGUGGAUGGGGCUGUACUUGAACAUCUGGUCCAGGGACGAGCCUGCUAAUCCAAAUCGAACAAACAAAUUCAUUAGGAGGGGAUCGAAGAGACAAGGAAGAAAUGAAGUAAACAUACAUACAGGUCUAUAUAUAAGCAGCAGAAGCAAGUAAUAUAAAUACAUCCUCUUUCUUCCUCUACAACACUAACUACAACAACAUCAAUCAUUGUACACAAGGAGCAGCAGCAACAAGCCGAUAAAGAAAGCUCAAGAUUUGUGUCUUUUGCAAGUUUUAGCACACUAGUACAUGCGUUAAAAUGGAAGCACCGCUGCUGGGUUGCAACAGCCAACAAACUAUAGGGUUACCGUCAAGUUAGCAUUACAGAAAGCGAAAAGAAAAGUGGAAAAGACAUGGCAGCCUAUAGUUAUGCGGAUAACAUCGACAAGUAGCCAACAGGAUGAGCAUUGUGCAGCUUAAUAACACAGUGUAUUAAUCUGAAUACACGUGAACAAAACAAGCAGUGUUAUUAAUACACUGCUAAAUGAGCAUUCAGGAUGCUUAUUAUACACGUGAACAAAACUAGGCCAAAACAUAGUAAAAAAACUGUGAAAAGGACACUAGCAGCAAAAUGAGCAUUGUGCAGCAAAAUGCUCACCAGCCAGAAGAUAAGCAAGGGAGGGAAACACACAAAGACAAUUUCGUAACUGAACCCGGGGAACCUUAGCUGACUAUCAUAAAUCACAACGGAAGCUACUGCAAAUGCCUUAAAACUACUGGUUCAUCAACAAAUAUUACAAGCAUGGUAAUUAGGAAAAGAGUAAAGCUAACCAAAAAAACUACAGAAAAGACAUCAAUAAUAAACUAGGUAAACCUCCAUAACCAUGAGACUAAUGAGCUACUAUCAAUAAAACCAUAGAAUGAAGCAGAAAUAUGUAAGAUAACUUGGAAGGGACACCAAUCUAUUAGAGUCAAACAGUUUAUUCACAUCUGAGCAUUUUCUUAAUGCUAUUUCAGAAAGCUAACAAAGACACUAACCACCAGGAAGGCUCCUACAACAGUUAUGCAAAAGACAGGAACACAAACACAGCUUAAUGACCUUGUACAUCUCUCACAAAUCUGCUGGCAAUAUGACAAGUCAAGGCACUCAUGAAUAUGCUCUAACUCUACUAUCAGUUUGUGAGAUCUUCCAAACAAAAAUUGUAUAUAUGAACAGGGUCAAACAGCAAGAGCCAUCUACUAUGAAUGUACUAGUAGGCAACGGCUGCAGAGAUCUUCAAACAGCUACCUCCUCAAACAAGUCACACAUUUCAUAGCAUGUGUAAGGCUAGCUACCUAAUGAUCUAUGAAUCAGUAUCUUUUAAGUAAGCAUGACUACAAAAAAACAGCAUGUUCACAUCAUUUCCAACAGGGCUAGAUUCAAUUCGAAAAUGCACUGAUCAAUUAGAGUCCUUGGCAGGAACACUGCUCCAACAGUUUGUCAAUAUUUAACAGCAUGAAAAGAACAAUCCACACAGGAAAGAUGUAUACAUAGAGCCUAUUUCAGGACAAAACACCAAGGCACACGAUCUGAGGCCGAGAACACCCUGAACCGGUGGUGGGAUGAGGGGGCCCUGAAGCGGCGGCGGGCCCUGAACCAUCGAGAAGCUGAUGGCGGUCGUCGGCGAGGUCGGGCGAGGAGGAGACCCUUUGUGCCGCGCCACCGGAGGAGGAGGAGGAGAGGAACAGGCGGCUCAUGGACCCAUCGAGGUAGGCCAUCUCCCACGAGUCGGGCGCCGCGGCAGCAGCAGCCGCCGCGUCCUCCUCCAUGCCCGCUGUCAUGCGGCCCGAUCUGCUCUGCUCGUGGCGGGAGGAGGCAAGGUGGUGGCGGGAGGAGGCUCCUCCUCCUCUACCGGCGGAUCUGGGCGCGGCCUUUGUGGGUCGAGUCGAUCCGGUGGAUUUUGCUGGAGAGAAGGGGAGGGGAGAUGCAGAUGGUGGGGGUCGCCGGCGUUGGGGUAGAGGGCGGAGGUCGCGAGGGGUCCGGCGAUGGGUAGUGGGCGGAGUCGCUGGCGUUGGGGCGGAGGUGCUCGACGGCGGGGCUGGAUUUGGGGGAGAAGAGCAGCAGGCAGAGGGGCGGGGGAGGGGUCUGGAUCGGGGAGAGGGAGACGGCAGCGCUUGACCUAGGGUUUCUCAGGAAGGAGGGGGUCGAGGGAGGAAGGG